Molecule: ribosomal RNA, 393 nt
Filed under: uncultured bacterium
Lineage: Bacteria
Description: partial 16S ribosomal RNA
Rfam family: Bacterial small subunit ribosomal RNA
Source: RNAcentral
AUACGUAGGGUGCAAGCGUUAAUCGGAAUUACUGGGCGUAAAGCGUGCGCAGGCGGUUUUGUAAGACAGUGGUGAAAUCCCCGGGCUCAACCUGGGAACUGCCAUUGUGACUGCAAGGCUGGAGUGCGGCAGAGGGGGAUGGAAUUCCGCGUGUCGCAGUGAAAUGCGUAGAUAUGCGGAGGAACACCGAUGGCGAAGGCAAUCCCCUGGGCCUGCACUGACGCUCAUGCACGAAAGCGUGGGGAGCAAACAGGAUUAGAUACCCUGGUAGUCCACGCCCUAAACGAUGUCAACUGGUUGUUGGGGAUUUAUUUUCUCAGUAACGAAGCUAACGCGUGAAGUUGACCGCCUGGGGAGUACGGCCGCAAGGUUAAAACUCAAAUGAAUUGACGG